GAUGAACGCUAGCGGCAGGCCUGAUACAUGCAAGUCGAACGAGAUUAAGAGGCUUGCUUCUUAUGAAAGUGGCGCACGGGUGCGUAACGCGUAUGCAACCUACCUUAAUCAGGGGGAUAGCCCGAAGAAAUUCGGAUUAAGACCGCAUAAAAACACAGGAUAGCAUUAUCCAAUGUUCAAAUAUUUAUAGGAUUAAGAUGGGCAUGCGUGUCAUUAGCUAGUUGGCGGGUAACGGCCCACCAAGGCGACGAUCCGUAGCUGGUCUGAGAGGAUGAUCAGCCACACUGGAACUGAGACACGGUCCAGACUCCUACGGGAGGCAGCAGUGGGGAAUAUUGGACAAUGGGCGCAAGCCUGAUCCAGCCAUACCGCGU
RNAcentral lists this ribosomal RNA (374 nucleotides) under uncultured bacterium. RNAcentral describes it as "bacterial SSU rRNA". It matches the Rfam family "Bacterial small subunit ribosomal RNA", at positions 28 to 402 of the family's 1533-position model. The record is from RNAcentral.